Molecule: transfer RNA, 73 nt
Filed under: Phycisphaeraceae bacterium
Lineage: Bacteria; Pseudomonadati; Planctomycetota; Phycisphaerae; Phycisphaerales; Phycisphaeraceae
Also listed under: 1 other name
Description: tRNA-Arg
Rfam family: tRNA
About the family: Transfer RNA (tRNA) molecules are approximately 80 nucleotides in length. Their secondary structure includes four short double-helical elements and three loops (D, anti-codon, and T loops). Further hydrogen bonds mediate the characteristic L-shaped molecular structure. tRNAs have two regions of fundamental functional importance: the anti-codon, which is responsible for specific mRNA codon recognition, and the 3' end, to which the tRNAs corresponding amino acid is attached (by aminoacyl-tRNA synthetases). tRNAs cope with the degeneracy of the genetic code in two manners: having more than one tRNA (with a specific anti-codon) for a particular amino acid; and 'wobble' base-pairing, i.e. permitting non-standard base-pairing at the 3rd anti-codon position.
Source: RNAcentral
GCCCCGUAGCUGAGCGGAUGAAAGCACCGCGCUACGAACGCGGAGAUCGCAGGUUCGAAUCCUGCCGGGGCCA